GGCUAACCUGCCCUUAGGACGAGAAUAACCCCGGGAAACUGGGGCUAAUGCUCGAUAGGUGAAGAACUCUGGAAUGAGUCUUCACUUAAAAGAGUCUGCGUUAUGCUCGUAGAUUUCGCUUAAGGAUGGGGCCGCGACCGAUCAGGUUGUUGGUGAGGUAAUGGCUCACCAAGCCUUUUACCGGUGCGGGCCGUGAGAGCGGGAGCCCGGAGAUGGGCACUGAGACAAGGGCCCAGGCCCUACGGGGCGCAGCAGUCGCGAAAACUUUGCAAUACACGAAAGUGUGACAGGGCUAUCCCGAGUGCCAUCCGCUGAGGAAGGCUUUUACCCAGUCUAGAACGCUGGGGGAAUAAGGAGAGGGCAAGUCUGGUGUCAGCCGCCGCGGUAAUACCAGCUCUCCGAGUGGUGUGGAUGUUUAUUGGGCCUAAAGCAUCCGUAGCUGGCUAAGUUAGUCCCCUGUUAAAUCCAACGAAUUA
This 476-nucleotide ribosomal RNA is filed under the name uncultured archaeon. RNAcentral's name for it is "bacterial SSU rRNA". It matches the Rfam family "Archaeal small subunit ribosomal RNA", at positions 102 to 561 of the family's 1478-position model. The record is from RNAcentral.